RNAcentral lists this ribosomal RNA (510 nucleotides) under uncultured Flavobacterium sp. RNAcentral describes it as "bacterial SSU rRNA". It matches the Rfam family "Bacterial small subunit ribosomal RNA", at positions 9 to 516 of the family's 1533-position model. The record is from RNAcentral. Lineage: Bacteria; Pseudomonadati; Bacteroidota; Flavobacteriia; Flavobacteriales; Flavobacteriaceae.
GAGUUUGAUCUUGGCUCAGGAUGAACGCUAGCGGCAGGCCUAAUACAUGCAAGUCGAGGGGCAGCAGGGAUAGCAAUAUUCGCUGGCGACCGGCGCACGGGUGCGUAACACGUAUACAAUCUGCCUUUAACAGGGGGAUAGCCCGGAGAAAUCCGGAUUAAUACCCCAUAACAGAUCGAAUGGCAUCAUUUGAUUUUGAAAGCUCCGGCGGUUAAAGAUGAGCAUGCGUCCCAUUAGCUAGAUGGUAAGGUAACGGCUUACCAUGGCAACGAUGGGUAGGGGUCCUGAGAGGGAGAUCCCCCACACUGGUACUGAGACACGGACCAGACUCCUACGGGAGCAGCAGUGAGGAAUAUUGGUCAAUGGACGCAAGUCUGAACCAGCCAUGCCGCGUGCAGGAUGACGGUCCUAUGGAUUGUAAACUGCUUUUGUACGGGAAGAAACAGUUCUACGUGUAGAACCUUGACGGUACCGUAAGAAUAAGGAUCGGCUAACUCCGUGCCAGCAGCC